CCGGAGGGCGCAGCGCGGAGCCUCCAAAAGGCCGCGCCGGAUGGGGCUUCUGCCGGUUCCCAGAGGCGUACCUUACAUUCAUGGCUUCUUCCGCCGGGAGCGCGUCUGGCUCAGGCCUCCGCGCCGCGGCCAUCUGGCUCUGGGCGGGCCCGCCGGGAGUCUGCCUGUGUGCGUCUCUGUGUCUCCGUGUUCGGGGCUCCUGCGGGUGUGGGGCUGGCCCUGAGUGCCCGCCGGCUUCGCUGCCGGUGCGCGUCCCGGGGUCGGGGCCUCAGUGCUGCUCUGCCUGUCCUCACGCCUUGGGUGGCGCUGGGCACCGGCCUUGUGCGCCAUGGUGGGCGCUGAAGUUCUGGGGGCACUUAUGGCGCAGGCUCGGGGUGCUGUUCUAGCUUCAAUAGGAGGGAGACUGUUGCAGCCUCAGAGCCUCCGCCUGCAUCCCCUGCCCUCGAGGGCACUGGCAUUCUGUCUUUGGGACUGAGGGCUGCAGGUGGACUCCGGAGGAGGGUGAUAAGCCCAGGGUCCUGGGACACCCUCUCACCUGCACAGAUGGGUCCUGAGGGUCCAGAGAGCAGAGCUCCCUGCAGGAACCCAGGAUGCAAAGCUGACGUUUUUCUGGGGGGACUGAACUGGGAGACUUUGCGACUGCAUUCGUACAGUACUCCUGGCAGCCCUGCAGAAGAGGUGCUGUGAGCCCGUUUUACAGGCAAGGAAUCCGAGGCAUGGAGAAGUUAAGUGGAUUGUGGCACAGCUGAGGCGCUGUCCUGGGCAGCCUGGUUCUGUGUGUGUGGCCUCAAGGGGCCAGAGUGAGGCCGGCUUCCUCCUGGGCUCAGUGCCCCUGGAUGGGAGGUGGGCAUGAACAGGAGAGGCUUCCGAGAAUCAGAGUGUGCUCAGCCAGGAAAGGCGGAGGCCACCUAUUCAGGAAACGGGGCUGCAGCUGCUGUGCUGAGCCCGGGUGGGUGGCAGGUGCCAGUCCUCAGUUCACCGGCCUCUGCAGCUUCGUGUCUGCCUCACCGGGAGACCUGGCAGGGCCCUCCCUAGGCAACUCCUCCCAUUCCCAGUGCCCAGUGCUUGGAAGGGAGGGCCCUCAGGCAGCCCAGACGUUGGCGGGUGGAGGGGGGUGUGCCAGCCACCGUCCAGCUGCUCUUGUUCCUGCGACCUCUUUUCAGGAGGAGGAAGUGGGGGAUGGAGGCUCCUGGGCUGGGGAAAAGGGCUAGGAGGGGCCUGGAACCCAGACCCUAGAGCCAGCUUUGUACCUCAGGCCCCUGCCUUUGGCGUGGUGGACGGUGGGGUAUCAGCACAGGAGCGGGGACUGCCUCACUCCCCAGGUGCCAAGUUGGCGGGUGGGCCCAGGUGGACCUGCUGGCACAGGUUUAAUGUUUAACGUGCCCAAGUCCCGGCCCACUGAUACUGGAGGCUGCUGCCCCAGGUUGUGGAGGGUGUGCGGUGCCUGGCGUUGGCUCCUGUGCCCACCUGCCACUGCGGCUGCUGGAACUGCCUUGAAGGAAGGCGGACAGCCUGAGGGCCCUGAGUGUCAGGUUACCAAGGAAACCAAACCAGCCAACCAAGGUCUGGAG
RNAcentral lists this long non-coding RNA (1571 nucleotides) under Homo sapiens (human). RNAcentral describes it as "HSALNT0157019". Lineage: Eukaryota; Metazoa; Chordata; Mammalia; Primates; Hominidae. The record is from RNAcentral.